AACGAACGCUGGCGGCAGGCCUAACACAUGCAAGUCGAGCGCCCUUUCGGGGGAGCGGCGGACGGGUGAGUAACGCGUGGGAAUAUGCCCUUCUCUACGGAAUAGCCUCGGGAAACUGAGAGUAAUACCGUAUACGCCCUGUGGGGGAAAGAUUUAUCGGGGAAGGAUUAGCCCGCGUUGGAUUAGGUAGUUGGUGGGGUAAUGGCCUACCAAGCCGACGAUCCAUAGCUGGUUUGAGAGGAUGAUCAGCCACACUGGGACUGAGACACGGCCCAGACUCCUACGGGAGGCAGCAGUGGGGAAUCUUAGACAAUGGGGGCAACCCUGAUCUAGCCAUGCCGCGUGAGUGAUGAAGGCCUUAGGGUUGUAAAGCUCUUUCAGCUGGGAAGAUAAUGACGGUACCAGCAGAAGAAGCCCCGGCUAACUCCG
Molecule: ribosomal RNA, 429 nt
Filed under: uncultured bacterium
Lineage: Bacteria
Description: partial 16S ribosomal RNA
Rfam family: Bacterial small subunit ribosomal RNA
Source: RNAcentral